Molecule: long non-coding RNA, 1624 nt
Organism: Hemicordylus capensis (graceful crag lizard)
Lineage: Eukaryota; Metazoa; Chordata; Lepidosauria; Squamata; Cordylidae
Exons: 6
Source: RefSeq, a predicted model, not a curated record
GCCUGAACUCGAGUAGGGCCCAAGCCAGCCAGGAAGGAGGAGGCAGCCAGAGUGUUCUCUGCAGCAGAAGACCCCUUGCUGCACUGCUUAACCCAGACCAGCAUUUGCCAGGCCCCCUGUCCUGGGAGCCCUGGUGUUGGGCUCUCAGGGCAGAGUGGGGAUUGUGUUGGUGUACCGCCCACCUUGCUGUCAGUUGUCUGCCUGCCUGAGCGAUGAAGCAAGCUGGGAGAUGGCUGGAAUGCAAGUGGAGGAAAACACGGGACGCAGGUGAGGUGGUGAGUGCCUGGAUGCAGUAAUGGACUGGAUGAGGGUGAACACACUGAGACAAGAUCCAGACAAGACAGAAGUACUGCUGGUCGGUGUUUCCUUAUCCAGAGGAUACACACCUGUUCCAGUAUUUCCCAGAAGGAAACUGAUAUUCUGGAAGAAAGGGCAGGAGGAAGAUGAGAAGAAGGGCAAUCAAGUCAGAUAGCAGCUGAGGAUCAUUCCAGCCUCUCUUCUCUACCAGCAAUCUUCAGCUACUAAUGUCAGAAUUCCUUCUUUUCAUGUUCGCAACAUGGAUCAGACAUCACUGCUGACUUGAGAUAAACAACUAGCCAAGUGUACCCGAUGGCACUGGAUGCUCGCAAAGCAUGUUCUUUAACAGAUGCAUUUCUAUCAGCAUGGAAGAAGGGAGGUUCCAUGGGAGUGUGUACUGCUUGCACUUGGUGCCAGUCAUUGUGAGAAGACACCGCACCACACUGUGGAUCUGAUCAUGAGUGGGCUGAGUGUCUGCAGAUGCCACUACAUUCAACUGAAGCUGAGCCCAUUUUAAAUCCUCGUAAUGGUAUUGCAGGCAAGUUCUUUUACCCACUUCAGGUAUAAAACGCCACCUCGGAUACCACAAGAAUCCAAAUGAAAAACUCUGCCUGGGAAAGGAGGCACAGCAUGAGACCGUAAAAUUCAGUCAACUGUAAAAUAGGGAAUAAGUCUCCCCUUUUCAGCUACACAAAACUCCUCCUAAAAAAAGAUGAGAGAAUCAGCAACAGCCUUCUUCACAAAUACAGUUGAGUUGAUAGAAAAAAUAUGAACACAGAGAUAUUAAAUAAAGCAUCUCAUAAAAUCAAGCAUGAACUAUCAACAAGAGGCAAUUAGUUUUGGUUUUAUGCAAGAUCACAAAUUCAGUGUUUACAGUGGGUGAAUACAGGCAACCACUUUUCAAGUGGUAAUUUACCACUGCGUGCAUGUAACCACUCUGAUCAGGUGUUCAAGUGUGCCAAGAUUUCUCUCCCAACCUGGCAGAGAAUACAAAUGAAUAGUUUACUAAGUUACACAUAUGAGGCUAAGUUACUGCUUGGUAAAUGGUCAUCUGUAUGGAUGCAGUCAAUGCCCUGGCACAUUGGCACCUCAAAAUGCUUUUAGUCUUAUUAAAGAGCUUCUGCUGCUUACUCAAAAUCUGUCUCUUUUUUCCCUUGUAUUCAAUCUUUAAAUAAUCUCACUGGGAACUUCUGACCUGCUGUGCUUAGGUCAUAUUCUGGGAUGGUGGCUCAUACUUUAUCUAGGAUGUUUGUAAGGGAUUGGGCACCAAAUAAUAUAUUACUCAGUGAGCUAAGCAAUCUGUGGGUCAUCACGGAUGUAUCAAGCC